GGCUGGGGCUCAGUGGUAGAGCACUUGUCUAGCACAUGCGAGGCCCUGGGUUCCAUCCUCAGCACCA
Molecule: transfer RNA, 67 nt
Filed under: Marmota monax (woodchuck)
Lineage: Eukaryota; Metazoa; Chordata; Mammalia; Rodentia; Sciuridae
Description: tRNA.Ala
Source: RNAcentral